AUUGAACGCUGGCGGCAGGCCUAACACAUGCGAGUCGAACGGUAACAGGAAGCAGCUUGCUGCUUUGCUGACGAGUGGCGGACGGGUGAGUAAUGUCUGGGAAACUGCCUGAUGGAGGGGGAUAACUACUGGAAACGGUAGCUAAUACCGCAUAACGUCGCAAGACCAAAGAGGGGGACCUUCGGGCCUCUUGCCAUCGGAUGUGCCCAGAUGGGAUUAGCUAGUAGGUGGGGUAACGGCUCACCUAGGCGACGAUCCCUAGCUGGUCUGAGAGGAUGACCAGCCACACUGGAACUGAGACACGGUCCAGACUCCUACGGGAGGCAACAGUGGGGAAUAUUGCACAAUGGGCGCAAGCCUGAUGCAGCCAUGCCGCGUGUAUGAAGAAGGCCUUCGGGUUGUAAAGUACUUUCAGCGGGGAGGAAGGGAGUAAAGUUAAUACCUUUGCUCAUUGACGUUACCCGCAGAAGAAGCACCGGCUAACUCCGUG
This 490-nucleotide ribosomal RNA is filed under the name uncultured bacterium. RNAcentral's name for it is "partial 16S ribosomal RNA". It matches the Rfam family "Bacterial small subunit ribosomal RNA", at positions 30 to 507 of the family's 1533-position model. The record is from RNAcentral.